CAGCACCUCAAGUGGUCAGGAUGAUUAUUGGGCUUAAAGCGUCCGUAGCCGGCUUAGCAAGUCUCCUGUUAAAUUCAGCGACCUAAUCGUUGAGCCGCGGGAGAUACUACUAGGCUAGGAGGCGGGAGAGGUCGACGGUACUUCUGGGGUAGGGGUGAAAUCCUAUAAUCCCGGGAGGACCACCAGUGGCGAAGGCUGUCGACUAGAACGCGCUCGACGGUGAGGGACGAAAGCUGGGGGAGCGAACCGGAUUAGAUACCCGAGUAGUCC
RNAcentral lists this ribosomal RNA (270 nucleotides) under uncultured archaeon. RNAcentral describes it as "partial 16S ribosomal RNA". It matches the Rfam family "Archaeal small subunit ribosomal RNA", at positions 477 to 747 of the family's 1478-position model. The record is from RNAcentral.